GAUGAACGCUGGCGGCGUGCCUAAUACAUGCAAGUCGAGCGAACAGACGAGGAGCUUGCUCCUUUGACGUUAGCGGCGGACGGGUGAGUAACACGUAGGUAACCUACCUAUAAGACUGGGAUAACUUCGGGAAACCGGAGCUAAUACCGGAUAAUAUUUCGAACCGCAUGGUUCGAUAGUGAAAGAUGGCUUUGCUAUCACUUAUAGAUGGACCUGCGCCGUAUUAGCUAGUUGGUAAGGUAACGGCUUACCAAGGCAACGAUACGUAGCCGACCUGAGAGCGUGAUCGGCCACACUGGAACUGAGACACGGUCCAGACUCCUACGGGAGGCAGCAGUAGGGAAUCUUACGCAAUGGGCGAAAGCCUGACGGAGCAACGCCGCGUGAGUGAUGAAGGUCUUCGGAUCGUAAAACUCUGUUAUUAGGGAAGAACAAACGUGUAAGUAACUGUGCACGUCUUGACGGUACCUAAUCAGAAAGCCACGGCUAACUACGUG
RNAcentral lists this ribosomal RNA (497 nucleotides) under uncultured bacterium. RNAcentral's name for it is "partial 16S ribosomal RNA". It matches the Rfam family "Bacterial small subunit ribosomal RNA", at positions 28 to 507 of the family's 1533-position model. The record is from RNAcentral.